CACACGAGUCGAUGGGGGUUACU
RNAcentral lists this non-coding RNA (23 nucleotides) under Rattus norvegicus (Norway rat). The record is from RNAcentral. Lineage: Eukaryota; Metazoa; Chordata; Mammalia; Rodentia; Muridae.